RNAcentral lists this transfer RNA (73 nucleotides) under Candidatus Pacearchaeota archaeon. Its description in RNAcentral is "tRNA-Pro". It matches the Rfam family "tRNA". From Rfam's summary of the family: Transfer RNA (tRNA) molecules are approximately 80 nucleotides in length. Their secondary structure includes four short double-helical elements and three loops (D, anti-codon, and T loops). The record is from RNAcentral. Lineage: Archaea; Nanobdellati.
GGGGUCGUAGUAUAGCUUGGUAGUAUCCGAGGUUUGGGACUUCGUGACCUGGGUUCAAAUCCCAGCGACCCCA